AAUGAACGCUGGCGGCAGGCCUAACACAUGCAAGUCGAACGGGUGCCUUCGGGUGCUAGUGGCGGACGGGUGAGUAACGCGUGGGAACAUGCCCAAAGGUACGGAAUAGCCUCGGGAAACUGAGAGUAAUACCGUAUGUGCCCCUUGGCUGUAGUGGUCGGGGGGGAAAGAUUUAUCGCCUUUGGAUUGGCCCGCGUUGGAUUAGGUAGUUGGUGGGGUAAUGGCCUACCAAGCCGACGAUCCAUAGCUGGUUUGAGAGGAUGAUCAGCCACACUGGGACUGAGACACGGCCCAGACUCCUACGGGAGGCAGCAGUGGGGAAUCUUAGACAAUGGGGGCAACCCUGAUCUAGCCAUGCCGCGUGAUCGAUGAAGGCCUUAGGGUUGUAAGAUCUUUCAGUUGGGAAGAUAAUGACGGUACCAACAGAAGAAGCCCCGGCUAACUCCGUGCCAGCCGCCGCAGUAAAAC
This 468-nucleotide ribosomal RNA is filed under the name uncultured bacterium. RNAcentral describes it as "bacterial SSU rRNA". It matches the Rfam family "Bacterial small subunit ribosomal RNA", at positions 29 to 526 of the family's 1533-position model. The record is from RNAcentral.